RNAcentral lists this ribosomal RNA (456 nucleotides) under uncultured organism. Its description in RNAcentral is "bacterial SSU rRNA". It matches the Rfam family "Bacterial small subunit ribosomal RNA", at positions 346 to 794 of the family's 1533-position model. The record is from RNAcentral.
GCGCAGCAGGCGAGAAUUUUUCUCAAUGGGGAAACCCUGAAGGAGCGACGCCGCGUGGAGGAUGAAGGUCUUCGGGUUGUAAACUCCUGUCAUUUGGGAACAAGCGUCGGUACGUAACUACUACCGGCUUGAUAGUACCAGAAGAGGAAGAGACGGCUAACUCUGUGCCAGCAGCCGCGGUAAUACAGAGGUCUCAAGCGUUGUUCGGAUUCAUUGGGCGUAAAGGGUGCGUAGGUGGCGCCGUAAGUGGGGUGUGAAAUUUCGGAGCUUAAACUCCGAAACUGCAUUCCAUACUGCGGUGCUUGAGGACUGGAGAGGAGACUGGAAUUCAUGGUGUAGCAAGUGAAAUGCGUAGAGAUCAUGAGGAAGACCAGUGGCGAAGGCGGGUCUCUGGACAGUUCCUGACACUGAUGCACGAAGGCCAGGGGAGCAAACGGGAUUAGAUACCCGUGUAGU